UGGUAAGCAAGCUGGUGAUGAUUUUAGAUGAAAACUUGAUUUGAAAUUCCAGCUUUGCUUCAACGCAGUUCAACGUUAUGUUAUGUGAUAUUACAGUUUGAAAUUCUUCAAGGAGAUCUUCGUUUAUUGAUUUGAUUUCCCUGUGAAAAACAGAAAAAUAUGUCUUCAUGUAUCUAAGUGGAGAUCUGGAUCAAACUGUCUAUGACUUCUUUUUAGAGGAAAGUUUGUAUCAUGGCUAUAAAGGUGCCAAUAUAAGUACUUUUAAGUUAGGGGUUCCUUGUGUUCAUGUAUUCAUUUUCUCACUACAAGGAGAAUCAUAAUAUCUUUUUAAUGUGUUUUUUGAGUAUGUGAGUUUAUUUUUUGCUGACAUUAUUUUUAUAAAUGGCAAUGGUUG
This 394-nucleotide unclassified non-coding RNA is filed under the name Hevea brasiliensis (rubber tree). Lineage: Eukaryota; Viridiplantae; Streptophyta; Magnoliopsida; Malpighiales; Euphorbiaceae. The record is from RNAcentral.